Molecule: ribosomal RNA, 440 nt
Filed under: uncultured bacterium
Lineage: Bacteria
Description: partial 16S ribosomal RNA
Rfam family: Bacterial small subunit ribosomal RNA
Source: RNAcentral
CCUACGGGGUGCAGCAGUGGGGAAUAUUGCACAAUGGGCGCAAGCCUGAUGCAGCCAUGCCGCGUGUAUGAAGAAGGCCUUCGGGUUGUAAAGUACUUUCAUCGGGGAAGAAAAUGACGGUACCUGAAGAAGAAGCCCCGGCUAACUACGUGCCAGCAGCCGCGGUAAUACGUAGGGGGCAAGCGUUAUCCGGAUUUACUGGGUGUAAAGGGGGGGGAGACGGCGAUGCAAGGCAGGAGUGAAAGCCCGGGGCCCAACCCCGGGACUGCUUUUGGAACUGCGUGGCUGGAGUGCAGGAGGGGCAGGCGGAAUGCCUGGGGUAGCGGUGAAAUGCGUAGAUAUUAGGAGGAACACCGGUGGCGAAGGCGGCCUGCUGGACUGCAACUGACGUUGAGGCCCGAAAGCGUGGGGAGCAAACAGGAUUAGAUACCCCUGUAGUC